This 497-nucleotide ribosomal RNA is filed under the name uncultured bacterium. RNAcentral's name for it is "partial 16S ribosomal RNA". It matches the Rfam family "Bacterial small subunit ribosomal RNA", at positions 28 to 507 of the family's 1533-position model. The record is from RNAcentral.
GAUGAACGCUGGCGGCGUGCCUAACACAUGCAAGUCGAGCGACCAGACGAUGAGCUCGCUCUCCUGAGGUUAGCGGCGGACGGGCGAGUAACACGUGGAUAACCUACCUAUAAGACUGGGAUAACUUCGGGAAACCGCUGCUAAUACUUGCUAAUACAUCCUACCGGAUGGAUCAAUAGUGCAAGACGGCUUGGCUGUCACUAAGAGACGGAUCCGCGUCGCAUUAGCUGGUUGGUAAGGUAACGGCUUACCAAGGCGACGAUGCGUAGCCGACCUGAGAGGAUGAUCGGCCACACUGGAACUGGAACACGGUCCAGACUCCUACGGGAGGCAGCAGUAGGGAAUCUUACGCAAUGGGCGAAAGCCUGACGAAGCAACGCCGCGUGAGUGAUGAAGGUCUUCGGAUCGUAAAGCUCUGUUAUUAGGAAAGAAAAGCAGUAUAGUUAUCUAUGCACGUCUUGACGGUACCUAAUCAAUAAGCCCCGGCUAACUUCGUG